CCUGAGGUCGCUGGGAAGAAGCAACACAUUUCCCUGUCCAGUGGCAACUACCUCCUCAUCACCUAAUCCCUGCGCCCGGAGCACAAACUCAUCCUAAGCAAAGGCAACUGAGCAGCUGUUUUCCUGUUCACCCCACCUCAGGUCCUCACUACUUUCCUACCGAUACCAUUCUAAGUUCCCAACGCAUUUUGUGAAAUAGAGAUACUUCUUCUUGAAUUACAACCAGAAAAUUUGGAGAGGUUGAAGAACUUGCCUACAGUCACCCAGUAAGGAGGUGGAGCCAGGAUUCAAACUCUGGUCUGAUUCUCGGCCCUGGUGGACACUGGCUUUCAGAGCUGUAACUUGCAGUUUUGGUGCCCAGAACCUGCAGCACAAAAGCUCCGCAAAUGACUUUGUGAUUUAUUAUGAAACUCAAAGAAAGAACAAGCUUCCUACUUUAAUUUUCCUUGCUAAUGACAGUUUUCAGCUGAAGAAAUCCAUGUGCUGUCAACAUGUAAAUAUAACCUUUUUUUUUUUCCAAUGUCUGUUCCCGGGACAGAGCCUCCCAGUAGGCCUUGCACUGUGCUGCAUGUGGUCCCUGGAGUUUUACAGCCUCACUACAGACACAAAACAGAGUGGUUAACACAAGCAAUCCUGAAUUGCAUAAAUGUGCUGGAUGCCCAUGCUAGACUAAGAAAGUUCUUCGUAUUCAGGAGAAACACUGUGGCCCUGAGAGGCCAGGGAAGGCCACGUGGAAGAGGAGAGUCCAUGGGUGGGUAGGAUUUAGGACCAGGGGAGAAGAAUUGCAAGCAAGAGCUGGAAAUAUACAGUUGAGGCUGGGAAGAGCUCACACUGAGAAGUGGCAACACAUAAAGUUGGAAAAGUAGGUUGGAGCCAAAUUGCUCAGGAUUUUAAGUGCCAGAAGGAGGAAUUGGAGAAUGGAAGCUGGGAGACCAGGCAGGAAACAGCUGUUCUCCAGGAGAGAGAGAGCAAGGGUCUGUCCCAAAGUGGGAGCACAGGUAGGAAACAAUUGAGAGGCAUUUUGAAGGAUGAAGGCUCCUCUGUCUCCUGUGCCCAGGAGCCCUGCCCUCUGCUAGGCUCUGGGACUAGUAAUGCUGAUUAACUGAUCUGCCAGUGGAUGCAUUGGCCCUCCCUGAUGACCCGGCACCCUUCUUGGAGAAGAGUGGGACUCUGGCCCCCUAUCCCUCCAUGUUCAAUUGCCCACAUCACUCAACUCUUCCUGUCCACCACACUUACCCUCCCAAGUGUAUUUCCUCAUCUGCAAAAACAGCAUGAGAAAGCUCCUCCUUCCUAAGUUUAUUGUGAGGUUGAAUAAGGUCAUGCGUGGAAGAUGCAAAGCACAGGGCCUGGCGCUUGUAACCGCUCAGCAGAUGGGAACCGCCAGCAUAAAUAUUCUGCACCCUUGGUCAGCUGGGACCCAUUAUUGAGAGUGGCUAUUCUCGUCUCUCUCUAUGAAAUGUUAGACACUAGCAGACAGCUGAAGGUGAAAUCAAGCAAGUUUGAACUGUGGUCUCUCUCUGGGGCUCCUUGUCAGGGAGGCAGCCCUUCUCAGCCUCUAAUACUCCCGUGCUCAGAGCCUGUCACAUCUGAG
Molecule: long non-coding RNA, 1591 nt
Filed under: Homo sapiens (human)
Lineage: Eukaryota; Metazoa; Chordata; Mammalia; Primates; Hominidae
Description: HSALNT0018116
Source: RNAcentral